UGAACGCUGGCGGCGUGCCUAAUACAUGCAAGUCGAGCGAACAGACGAGGAGCUUGCUCCUCUGACGUUAGCGGCGGACGGGUGAGUAACACGUGGAUAACCUACCUAUAAGACUGGGAUAACUUCGGGAAACCGGAGCUAAUACCGGAUAAUAUAUUGAACCGCAUGGUUCAAUAGUGAAAGACGGUUUUGCUGUCACUUAUAGAUGGAUCCGCGCCGCAUUAGCUAGUUGGUAAGGUAACGGCUUACCAAGGCAACGAUGCGUAGCCGACCUGAGAGGGUGAUCGGCCACACUGGAACUGAGACACGGUCCAGACUCCUACGGGAGGCAGCAGUAGGGAAUCUUCCGCAAUGGGCGAAAGCCUGACGGAGCAACGCCGCGUGAGUGAUGAAGGUCUUCGGAUCGUAAAACUCUGUUAUUAGGGAAGAACUAAUGUGUAAGUAACUAUGCACGUCUUGACGGUACCUAAUCAGAAAGCCACGGCUAACUACGUG
Molecule: ribosomal RNA, 495 nt
Filed under: uncultured bacterium
Lineage: Bacteria
Description: partial 16S ribosomal RNA
Rfam family: Bacterial small subunit ribosomal RNA
Source: RNAcentral